This 271-nucleotide ribosomal RNA is filed under the name uncultured soil bacterium. RNAcentral describes it as "partial 16S ribosomal RNA". It matches the Rfam family "Bacterial small subunit ribosomal RNA", at positions 27 to 285 of the family's 1533-position model. The record is from RNAcentral.
GGAAUCAACGCUGGCGGCGUGCCUAACACAUGCAAGUCGAACGCGAAAGGGAGCAAUCCCUGAGUAGAGUGGCAAACGGGUGAGUAACACGUGGGUGACCUGCCUUCGAGUGGGGGAUAACGUCCCGAAAGGGACGCUAAUACCGCAUGACAUCCUGUCCUUAGACGGACGGAGAUCAAAGCUAGGGAUCGCAAGACCUGGCGCUUGAAGAGGGGCCCGCGCCUGAUUAGCUAGUUGGUGAGGUAACGGCUCACCAAGGCUUCGAUCAGUA